AGUAGCGCGUGGGCAAUCUACCCUGGAGUGGGGAAUAACCAUCCUAACGGGUGGCUAAUUCCGCAUGUGACCGUUUCUUCGCAUGGAGAGACGGGGAAAGGUGGGGAUCUUCGGACCUGCCGCUCCAGGAGGAGCCCGCGUCCCAUUAGCUUGUUGGUGGGGUAAUGGCCCACCAAGGCGACGAUGGGUAGCCGAUCUGAGAGGAUGACCGGCCACACUGGGACUGAGAUACGGCCCAG
This 239-nucleotide ribosomal RNA is filed under the name uncultured bacterium. RNAcentral's name for it is "partial 16S ribosomal RNA". It matches the Rfam family "Bacterial small subunit ribosomal RNA", at positions 109 to 334 of the family's 1533-position model. The record is from RNAcentral.